GGAUGUGAGGACAAUCUGGCUGUGACAUUUGUCAUCCCACUGGUCUCCAGGGUUGAUUCAGCUGGUCUGGCUGGCUGGGUGGGUCUCCCCUUCCUCCCCCACUGCUUCACGUGCAUCCAUCCUGCAGCUGUGCACAUGGCAGAUAAACAAACCUUCUCUGAAAAGAGACAGACUGGUCUUAGUCUAGGGUAUAAGAAUAGCUGUGCUCCCCUUCUAGAAGCUCUAAAGAAGCUCUCAGCAAGAAGAUAUAAAAUAAUAAAUAUUUUAGACUCAACCUGGGUGAUACUA
Unclassified non-coding RNA from Erinaceus europaeus (western European hedgehog), 288 nucleotides. Its record names the gene 7SK. It matches the Rfam family "7SK RNA". From Rfam's summary of the family: 7SK was discovered as an abundant small nuclear RNA in the mid-70s but a possible function has only recently been suggested. Two independent studies have found that 7SK RNA binds the CDK9/cyclin T complex (known as elongation factor P-TEFb). Lineage: Eukaryota; Metazoa; Chordata; Mammalia; Eulipotyphla; Erinaceidae. The record is from Ensembl.